CAUUACAACCCUCAAGCCCAGCUUGGUGUUGGGUGCCGCCCCCCGGGGCGCGCCCGGAAAUCAGCGGCGGUGCCGCCCGGCGAUCGAGCGUAGUAACAAACCCCUCGCUUCGAAUCCACCCGGGCGGUCCGGCCGGACAACCCCCCCAGCUACCCCCAACGAUUGACCUCGGAUCAGGUAGGGAUACCCGCUGAACUUAA
This 200-nucleotide unclassified non-coding RNA is filed under the name soil metagenome. Its description in RNAcentral is "partial contains internal transcribed spacer 2 and large subunit ribosomal RNA". The record is from RNAcentral.